CCUACGGGUGGCAGCAGUGGGGAAUAUUGCACAAUGGGGGAAACCCUGAUGCAGCGACGCCGCGUGAGUGAAGAAGUAUUUCGUUAUGUAAAGCUCUAUCAGCAGGGAAGAAAAUGAAGGUACCUUAGCAAGAAGCCCCGGCCAACUACGGGCCAGCAGCCGCCGUUAUACGUAGGGGGCAAGCCUUAUCCGGAUUUACUGGGGGGAAAGGGAGCGUAGACGGCCGGGUAAGUCUGGAGUGAAAGGCGGGGGCUCAACCCCGGGACUGCUUUGGAAACUGUACGGCUUGAGUGCAGGAGAGGUAAGUGGAAUUCCUAGUGUAGCGGUGAAAUGCGUAGAUAUUAGGAGGAACACCAGUGGCGAAGGCGGCUUACUGGACAGUAACUGACGUUGAGGCUCGAAAGCGUGGGGAGCAAACAGGAUUAGAUACCCCAGUAGUC
RNAcentral lists this ribosomal RNA (440 nucleotides) under uncultured bacterium. RNAcentral's name for it is "partial 16S ribosomal RNA". It matches the Rfam family "Bacterial small subunit ribosomal RNA", at positions 338 to 795 of the family's 1533-position model. The record is from RNAcentral.